This 642-nucleotide unclassified non-coding RNA is filed under the name Octopus sinensis (East Asian common octopus). RNAcentral describes it as "beta-1,3-galactosyltransferase 1-like, transcript variant X2". Lineage: Eukaryota; Metazoa; Mollusca; Cephalopoda; Octopoda; Octopodidae. The record is from RNAcentral.
UUUCUUUUCAUGUUUGUUUAAUCGAAUCGUGUGAACAUAUGGGAAAAGUACAUCAACCGUAAAUUUUAUUGGUGCUUAUAAUAUUCUGAACUGCGAAACAGCUGGUUAUAUUGAUAUUGUGAUGUGUUAUAGCGAAUAUUUCAGACAGCAUCUUGGGUCUUCAAGAAAGCGAUCUCUACAUUUACACAGAUAUUAAACAGAGAGUAAAUUACAAGUUUUGCCGCACAUAAAUUUUCUAUGAAUAUUAUUCAACUUGUAUCGUUCCGAUCACAAUAACACCAGCAUAUAACAAAUUAUUUAGAUUUCGUUAUUGGGGAAUGCCCGUCUUCAUUCAUCUUUAUCCACGAAAAACCUAAACAGCGGCAAUAAAUAAAACGAAGCAAAAUGUAGCAGAAUGAACUUCAGCAGGAAGUUUGAGUUCCGCGGUGCCAAUGCUUGAGAUUCUUUUUCAAAUUCAUUUGACUGCAGCUUUGCCGGAGAACCGCCUUUAGUCGAGACAAUCGAUCUCAGGACUUAUUUGUUGUAAGACUAGUAUUAUCCCAUCGGUCUCUUGUGCCGAACCGCUAAGUUACGGGGAUGAAAACACACCACCAGUGGUUGUCAAGUAAUGUUGCGCGGACAAACACAGACGCACAAACACAC